RNAcentral lists this ribosomal RNA (277 nucleotides) under uncultured bacterium. RNAcentral describes it as "partial 16S ribosomal RNA". It matches the Rfam family "Bacterial small subunit ribosomal RNA", at positions 82 to 354 of the family's 1533-position model. The record is from RNAcentral.
CCGUUGCCGGCGACCGGCGCACGGGUGAGUAACACGUAUGCAACCUGCCCGUGGCAGGGGGAUAAGCGGGGGAAACCCCGUCUAAUACCGCGUAACGCGGCCUAGGGACAUCCCAAGGCCGCCAAAGGGAGCAAUCCCGGCCACGGAUGGGCAUGCGGCGCAUUAGCUAGUCGGCGGGGUAACGGCCCACCGAGGCGACGAUGCGUAGGGGUUCUGAGAGGAAGGCCCCCCACCACUGGUACUGAGACACGGACCAGACUCCUACGGAAGGCAGCAG